AUGAACGCUGGCGGCGUGCCUAAUCCAUGCAAGUCGCGCUAACAGAUGAGGAGCUUGCUCCUCUGACGUUAUCGGCGGACGGGUGAGUAACACGUUGUUAACCUACCUAUAAUACUGGGUUAACUUCGGGAAACCGGAUCUAAUACCGGAUAAUAUAUUUAACCGCAUGGUUCAAUAGUUAAAUACGGUUUUUCUUUCACUUAUAGAUUGAUCCGCGCCGCAUUAGAUAGUUGGUAAGGUAACGGCUUACCAAGGCAACGAUGCGUAGCCGACAUGAGAGGGGGAUCGGCCACACUGGAAGUGAGACACGGAACAGAAGACUACGGGAGGCAGCAGAAGGGAAGAUGACGGAAUGGGCGAAAGCAUGACGGAGAAAAGGCGAGGGAGAGAUGAAGGUCUUAGGAGCGUAAAACUCUGUUAUUAGGGAAGAAAAAAUGUGUAAGUAAAUAUGCACGUAUUGACGGUAACAAAUAAGAAAGCCACGGCUAACUACGUG
Molecule: ribosomal RNA, 496 nt
Filed under: uncultured bacterium
Lineage: Bacteria
Description: partial 16S ribosomal RNA
Rfam family: Bacterial small subunit ribosomal RNA
Source: RNAcentral